Molecule: ribosomal RNA, 896 nt
Filed under: Podospora pauciseta
Lineage: Eukaryota; Fungi; Ascomycota; Sordariomycetes; Sordariales; Podosporaceae
Description: partial large subunit ribosomal RNA
Rfam family: Eukaryotic large subunit ribosomal RNA
Source: RNAcentral
UAGCAUAUCAAUAAGGGGAGGAAAAGAAACCAACAGGGAUUGCCUCAGUAACGGCGAGUGAAGCGGCAACAGCUCAAAUUUGAAAUCUGGCCUCGGCCCGAGUUGUAAUUUGUAGAGGAAGCUUUUGGUGCGGCACCGACCGAGUCCCCUGGAACGGGGCGCCAUAGAGGGUGAUAGCCCCGUAUGGUUGGACGCCUAUCCUCUGUAAAGCUCCUUCGACGAGUCGAGUAGUUUGGGAAUGCUGCUCUAAAUGGGAGGUAGAUUCCUUCUAAAGCUAAAUACCGGCCAGAGACCGAUAGCGCACAAGUAGAGUGAUCGAAAGAUGAAAAGCACUUUGAAAAGAGGGUUAAAUAGCACGUGAAAUUGUUGAAAGGGAAGCGCCUGUGACCAGACUUGCGCCCCGUCGAUCAUCCGGGGUUCUCCCCGGUGCGCUCGGCGGGGCUCAGGCCAGCAUCGGUUCUCGCGGGGGGACAAAGGCUCCGGGAACGUAGCUCCUCCGGGAGUGUUAUAGCCCGGGGCGUAAUGCCCUCGCGGGGACCGAGGACCGCGCUUCGGCAAGGAUGCUGGCGUAAUGGUCACCGGCGACCCGUCUUGAAACACGGACCAAGGAGUCAAGGUUUUGCGCGAGUGUCUGGGUGUAAAACCCGCACGCGUAAUGAAAGUGAACGUAGGUGAGAGCUUCGGCGCAUCAUCGACCGAUCCUGAUGUAUUCGGAUGGAUUUGAGUAGGAGCGUUAAGCCUUGGACCCGAAAGAUGGUGAACUAUGCUUGGAUAGGGUGAAGCCAGAGGAAACUCUGGUGGAGGCUCGCAGCGGUUCUGACGUGCAAAUCGAUCGUCAAAUCUGAGCAUGGGGGCGAAAGACUAAUCGAACCAUCUAGUAGCUGGUUACCGCCGAA